GGGUGAGUAACACGUGAGCAACCUGCCUAUCAGAGGGGGAUAACGAUUGGAAACGAUCGCUAAUACCGCAUGACAUAGCGGAAUCGCAUGGUUCUGUUAUCAAAGAUUUUAUCGCUGAUAGAUGGGCUCGCGUCCGAUUAGAUAGUUGGUGGGGUAACGGCCUACCAAGUCGACGAUCGGUAGCCGGACUGAGAGGUCGAACGGCCACAUUGGGACUGAGACACGGCCCAGACUCCUACGGGAGGCAGCAGUGGGGGAUAUUGCACAACGGGGGAAACCCUGAUGCAGCGACGCCGCGUGAGGGAAGACGGUCCUCUGGAUUGUAAACCUCUGUCUUCGGGGACGAAACGAGACGGUACCCGAGGAGGAAGCCACGGCUAACUACGUGCCAGCAGCCGCGGUAAUACGUAGGUGGCAAGCGUUGUCCGGAAUUACUGGGUGUAAAGGGAGCGUAGGCGGGCAGGCAAGUCAGGCGUGAAAUAUAUCGGCUCAACCGGUAACGGCGCUUGAAACUGCAGGUCUUGAGUGAAGUAGAGGUUGGCGGAAUUCCUAGUGUAGCGGUGAAAUGCGUAGAUAUUAGGAGGAACACCAGUGGCGAAGGCGGCCAACUGGGCUUUUACUGACGCUGAGGCUCGAAAGUGUGGGGAGCAAACAGGAUUAGAUACCCUGGUAGUCCACACCGUAAACGAUGAUUACUAGGUGUGGGGGGACU
This 712-nucleotide ribosomal RNA is filed under the name uncultured bacterium. RNAcentral's name for it is "bacterial SSU rRNA". It matches the Rfam family "Bacterial small subunit ribosomal RNA", at positions 104 to 832 of the family's 1533-position model. The record is from RNAcentral.